UGUCUUUUUGAGAAUAAUUUAAAGUCUAAUCUGCCCACUGAGGUUUUGAAUGGCCGCGGUAUUUUGACCGUGCAAAGGUAGCAUAAUCAUUAGUUUUUUAAUUGAAAGCUGGUAUGAAUGAUUGGAUGAGAAAAUAACUGUCUCAAUUUAAUUUAUAUAGAAUUUUAUUUUUAAGUUAAAAAGCUUAAAUAUAAUUUAAAGACGAGAAGACCCUAUAGAGUUUAAUAAAUAAAAUUAUUUAAUUUAUUAGUUUUUAGUAUUUAAAUUUAUCUUAUUUAUUUUAUUGGGGUGAUAGAAAAAUUUAAUAAACUUUUUUUAUAAUUUUACAUUUAUAAAUGAUUUUUUGAUCCAUAGUUUAUGAUUAAAAGAUAAAAUUACCUUAGGGAUAACAGCGUAAUUUUUUUUAAGAGUUCAAAUCGAAAAAAAAGAUUGCGACCUCGAUGUUGGAUUAAAGUUAAUUUUUGGUGCAGUAGCUAAAAGAUUAAGUCUGUUCGACUUUUGAAACUUU
Molecule: ribosomal RNA, 508 nt
Filed under: Madoniella dislocata
Lineage: Eukaryota; Metazoa; Arthropoda; Insecta; Coleoptera; Cleridae
Description: partial 16S ribosomal RNA
Rfam family: Bacterial large subunit ribosomal RNA (bases 385-508)
Source: RNAcentral